Molecule: RNA transcript, 943 nt
Organism: Grammomys surdaster
Lineage: Eukaryota; Metazoa; Chordata; Mammalia; Rodentia; Muridae
Gene name: 60S ribosomal protein L6 pseudogene
Exons: 1
Source: RefSeq, a predicted model, not a curated record
AUGGCGGGUGAAAAGGCGGAGAAGCCUGAUACAAAGGAAAAGAAGCCUGCGGCCAAGAAGGCUAGCGGUAAUGCUGCUGCCUCUGGUCCCCCGGCCGCUGGUGCAGCUAAAAAGGGUAAACCGAAGAGUAAAAAACUCAAGAAAGCCAAGCCCCACUGCAGCCGGAACCCUGUCCUGGUGAGAGGAAUUGGCAGGUACUCCCGAUCAGCUAUGUAUUCCAGAAAGGCCUUGUACAAAAGGAAAUACUCAGCUGCCAAGACCAAGGUUGAAAAGAAGAAGAAAAAGGAGAAGGUCCUUGCUACUGUCACAAAAACAGUUGGUGGGGACAAGAACGGUGGCACCCGGGUGGUGAAGCUUCGAAAAAUGCCUAGGUAUUAUCCUACGGAAGACGUGCCUCGGAAGCUGCUGAGCCACGGCAAAAAGCCCUUCAGUCAGCACGUGAGGAGGCUGCGCUCCAGCAUCACUCCCGGGACUGUCCUGAUCAUCCUCACUGGGCGCCACAGGGGCACGAGAGUGGUUUUCCUGAAGCAGCUGGGCAGUGGCUUGCUACUUGUGACUGGACCUCUGGCUAUCAACAGAGUUCCUCUGCGCAGAACACACCAGAAGUUUGUUAUCGCCACCUCUACAAAAGUUGAUAUCAGCGGGGUUAAAAUCCCCAAACACCUGACUGACGCUUACUUCAAGAAGAAGCAGCUGCGCAAGCCUAGGCAUCAGGAGGGCGAGAUCUUCGACACAGAGAAGGAGAAAUACGAGAUUACAGAGCAGCGAAAGACUGAUCAGAAAGCUGUGGACUCGCAGAUUUUGCCAAAGAUUAAAGCUGUUCCUCAGCUCCAGGGCUACCUGCGAUCUCAGUUCUCCCUGACAAACGGGAUGUAUCCUCACAAACUGGUGUUCUAAAUGGCUUACAGCCUCAUUAAACAGAUUCAUAUGUUUAAAAAAAAAA